GGCGGAUGUAGCCAANUGGAUCAAGGCAGUGGAUU
Molecule: transfer RNA, 35 nt
Filed under: Withania coagulans (Indian rennet)
Lineage: Eukaryota; Viridiplantae; Streptophyta; Magnoliopsida; Solanales; Solanaceae
Description: partial tRNA-His
Source: RNAcentral